This 429-nucleotide ribosomal RNA is filed under the name Bacteroidota bacterium. RNAcentral describes it as "Bacteroidetes bacterium partial 16S ribosomal RNA". It matches the Rfam family "Bacterial small subunit ribosomal RNA", at positions 355 to 776 of the family's 1533-position model. The record is from RNAcentral. Lineage: Bacteria; Pseudomonadati; Bacteroidota.
UAGGGAAUCUUCGGCAAUGGGGGGAACCCUGACCGAGCAACGCCGCGUGAGUGAAGAAGGUUUUCGGAUCGUAAAGCUCUGUUGUUAAGGAAGAACGAGUGUGAGAAUGGAAAGUUCAUGCUGUGACGGUACUUAACCAGAAAGUGACGGCUAACUACGUGCCAGCAGCCGCGGUAAUACGUAGGUCCCGAGCGUUGUCCGGAUUUAUUGGGCGUAAAGCGAGCGCAGGCGGUUAGAAAAGUCUGAAGUGAAAGGCAGUGGCUCAACCAGUGGAGGCAUUGGAAAAUGUAUAAGUGGAGUGCAGAAGGGGAGAGUGGAAUUGCAUGUGUAGCGGUGAAAUGCGUAGAUAUAUGGAGGAACACCGGUGGCGAAAGCGGCUGACUGGUCAGUAACUGACGCUGAGGCACGAAAGGGUGGGGAGCGAACAGG